CUGCUCAAACUCUGGGCUAAGUUCUGUGAUACACUCUGACUGUGAAUGGCUAUGCUAGUCAGUGCAUAACAGAACUUUGUCCCGG
This 85-nucleotide microRNA precursor is filed under the name Tetraodon nigroviridis (spotted green pufferfish). RNAcentral describes it as "microRNA tni-mir-152 precursor". Its record names the gene tni-mir-152. The stretch from base 11 to 85 matches the Rfam family "mir-148/mir-152 microRNA precursor family". Rfam says of the family: The hairpin precursors (represented here) are predicted based on base pairing and cross-species conservation -- their extents are not known. In this case the mature sequence is excised from the 3' arm of the hairpin. Lineage: Eukaryota; Metazoa; Chordata; Actinopteri; Tetraodontiformes; Tetraodontidae. The record is from miRBase by way of RNAcentral.